Molecule: transfer RNA, 70 nt
Filed under: Clostridium tertium
Lineage: Bacteria; Bacillati; Bacillota; Clostridia; Eubacteriales; Clostridiaceae
Also listed under: 4 other names
Rfam family: tRNA
About the family: Transfer RNA (tRNA) molecules are approximately 80 nucleotides in length. Their secondary structure includes four short double-helical elements and three loops (D, anti-codon, and T loops). Further hydrogen bonds mediate the characteristic L-shaped molecular structure. tRNAs have two regions of fundamental functional importance: the anti-codon, which is responsible for specific mRNA codon recognition, and the 3' end, to which the tRNAs corresponding amino acid is attached (by aminoacyl-tRNA synthetases). tRNAs cope with the degeneracy of the genetic code in two manners: having more than one tRNA (with a specific anti-codon) for a particular amino acid; and 'wobble' base-pairing, i.e. permitting non-standard base-pairing at the 3rd anti-codon position.
Source: RNAcentral
AAGCAUAGCUCAGCUGGGAGAGCAUCUGCCUUACAAGCAGAGGGUCACAGGUUCGAUCCCUGUUGUUUCC